Non-coding RNA from Podarcis lilfordi (Lilford's wall lizard), 74 nucleotides. NCBI's taxonomy places the organism in Eukaryota, Metazoa, Chordata, Lepidosauria, Squamata, Lacertidae. The record is from the annotation of a GenBank genome assembly.
ACCUGGAUAGCUCGGCUGGUUAGAAUGUGGUGCUAAUAACACCAAGGUUGCAGGUUCGAUCCCUGUAUGGGACA